Molecule: long non-coding RNA, 796 nt
Filed under: Nicotiana benthamiana
Lineage: Eukaryota; Viridiplantae; Streptophyta; Magnoliopsida; Solanales; Solanaceae
Description: long non-coding RNA (NBEN_LNC021963)
Source: RNAcentral
GAAGAGGGAGGAGAGAGAGGAAUGGGAGAAUCAGAGGCAUCAUCAUGUUCUCCAGAUGGAAUAAAGGGAAAAGAGGAAGCAGGAGGAGAAGCAGAAGAAGACACAGAUUUAAAAGGAAAAACUGAUUCAUGAAAGAGAACAUCCCUGGAGACCAAAUACUUCUUAGAUGCAAGAUCAUACAGCCUAUAACCCUUCCUGCCAAAAGGAUAACCCAGAAAAACACAAGGAAUGACUCUUGGCUUUAACUUGUCCCUUUGAGGGAUGUGAACAGUGGCAUAGGCAAUACACAAGGAAUGGCUCUUGGCUUUAGCUUGUCCCUUUGAGGGAUGGAGACAGUGGCAUAGGCAAGGCAACCAAAAGUCCUCAAGUGAGUAUAGGAUGGAACUGUCCCAUACAAAAGUUCAUGAGGAGACUUAUUAAAAGUAAUCUGGUGGGUAUUCUGUUAAGUAGAUAUGUAGCAGUCAACAAACAAUCCCCCCAGAAAGAUACUGGCAAGCCAGAUUGAAAGAGCAAAGCCCUACAGGUUUCAAGGAGAGUCCUAUGUUUUCUCUCAACAACUCCAUUUUGUUGAGGAGCGUGAGGACAGGAGGUUUGGUGUAUGAUCCCCUGGCUACUAAAAAAAGAAAUACCCUUAUUGCUAGAGCCCAAUUCUAAGGCAUUGUCACUUCUAACAGUCUGAACCAUAGCAUUAAAUUGGGUUUUAACCAGAGAAAGAAAUGACUUAAGCAUAGAAAAAGCAGUGCUUUUGGAUCCCAUUAAGUGUGUCCAUGUUGCCCUAGAAAAAUCAUCAACAAUU